This 69-nucleotide antisense RNA is filed under the name Micromonospora rifamycinica. Its description in RNAcentral is "ASpks TB sRNA". It matches the Rfam family "ASpks TB sRNA". The record is from RNAcentral. Lineage: Bacteria; Bacillati; Actinomycetota; Actinomycetes; Micromonosporales; Micromonosporaceae.
CUUGAUCGAACCCAGCAGCAGCGGCCGGUCACGAUCCUGUCCGUACGUCGCCAGGAGGGCCUGCGCCUC